RNAcentral lists this ribosomal RNA (559 nucleotides) under Nitzschia cf. pusilla. RNAcentral's name for it is "partial large subunit ribosomal RNA". It matches the Rfam family "Eukaryotic large subunit ribosomal RNA", at positions 34 to 663 of the family's 3401-position model. Lineage: Eukaryota; Bacillariophyta; Bacillariophyceae; Bacillariales; Bacillariaceae. The record is from RNAcentral.
UUAAGCAUAUAACUAAGCGGAGGAAAAGAAACUAACCAGGAUUCCCUCAGUAAGGGCGACUGAAGCGGGAAGUGCUCAGGAUGUGAAUCUGCGCUGUUGUCAGCGCCGAAUUGUGGUCUGUAGACUGUGGCAUUACUGGCCGGGCCAAGUCCCUUGGAACAGGGCAGCUGAGAGGGUGAGACUCCCGUACGCCUGGCUGGGUGAGCUACUUGUCAACGAGUCGAGUUGUUUGGGAUUGCAGCUCAAAGCGGGUGGUAAAUUCCAUCUAAAGCUAAAUAUUGGUGGGAGACCGAUAGCGUACAAGUACCGUGAGGGAAAGAUGCAAAGAACUUUGAAAAGAGAGUUAAAGAGUACCUGAAAUUGCUGAAAGGGAAGCGAAGGAAACCAGUGUCGGCUUGGAUAUACUUCCCUGUCCGCUUGCGGAUUGGGCGCUGUGUCCGGCCUGUGUUGUUGUUGGUUGGUCGUGGUGGAAGAGCGCGUGGAGAGUUGAUCCCCGUUGCUAGCACCGUGAGUGACUGAGAAGGACGAAAUGGUUUUCUUUACCCCGUCUUGAAACACG